Molecule: ribosomal RNA, 299 nt
Filed under: Paenibacillus sp. cl6col
Lineage: Bacteria; Bacillati; Bacillota; Bacilli; Caryophanales; Paenibacillaceae
Description: 23S rRNA. Bacterial LSU
Rfam family: Bacterial large subunit ribosomal RNA
Source: RNAcentral
UCGUGAGACAGUUCGGUCCCUAUCUGUCGCGGGCGUAGGAAAUUUGAGAGGAGCUGUCCUUAGUACGAGAGGACCGGGAUGGACGCACCGCUGGUGUACCAGUUGUUCCGCCAGGAGCAUAGCUGGGUAGCUAUGUGCGGAAGGGAUAAGCGCUGAAAGCAUCUAAGCGUGAAGCCCCCCUCAAGAUGAGAUUUCCCAAUUAGUAAGACCCCUUGAAGACGACGAGGUAGAUAGGUUGGAGGUGGAAGCACAGUAAUGUGUGGAGCUGACCAAUACUAAUCGGUCGAGGGCUUAUCCUA